This 497-nucleotide ribosomal RNA is filed under the name uncultured bacterium. RNAcentral describes it as "partial 16S ribosomal RNA". It matches the Rfam family "Bacterial small subunit ribosomal RNA", at positions 28 to 507 of the family's 1533-position model. The record is from RNAcentral.
GAUGAACGCUGGCGGCGUGCCUAAUACAUGCAAGUCGAGCGAACAGACGCGGAGCUUGCUCCUCUGACGGUAGCGGCGGACGGGUGAGGAACAAGUGGGUAACCUACCUAUAAGACUGGGAUAACUUCGGGAAACCGGAGCUAAUAACGGAUAAUAUAUUGAACCGCAUGGAUCAAUAGUGAAAGACAGGUUUUCUGUCACUUAUAGAUGGGACCGCGCCUCAUUAGCUAGUUGGUAAGGUAACGGCUUACCAAGGCAACGAUGCGUAGCCGACCUGAGAGGGUGAUCGGCCACACUGGAACUGAGACACGGUCCAGACUCCUACGGGAGGCAGCAGUAGGGAAUCUUCCGCAAUGGGCGAAAGCCUGACGGAGCAACGCCGCGUGAGUGAUGAAGGUCUUCGGAUCGUAAAACUCUGUUAUUAGGGAAGAACAAAUGUGUAAGUAACUAUGCACGUCUUGACGGUACCUAAUCAGAAAGCCACGGCUAACUACGUG